UCAACAUUUUUGCGGUUUGCAUUGCAAUGAUUAAUUUUCAUAGCAAAUUUUUUUUGGAAAAUGAAUGAUAUUAGACGGAUAAUGUGCAUCUCAACAAGUGUAUUCCAAAAUCAACCUAUUAACUAUUUGUUAACUAUAAAAUAACAUUUAUGGAUUGAAGGUGUUCGAUGAAAUGCCUAGUAGGGACAAGUUUACUUGGACUGCUUUGGUUGAUGGGUAGUGCAAAUGUGGUAAGGUUGAGAUUGCUAGAGAGGUAUUUGAUCAAAUGCCUGAUAAGAGUUUGGUUACUUGGAAUGUUAUGAUUAAUGGGUAUAUGAAGGUUGGGAAAAUUGAAUUGGCGAAUGAAUUGUUUCGGUGUAUGCCUGCGAGGAGUUUAAUAUGUUAGAACUCAAUGAUAGUUGGAUAUCAGCUCAAUAGGUGUUUUUAUGAAGGUAUGGAGUUGUUUGAAGCGUUUUUGAAAGAGGGGCUUGUGCCUAGCAAUGUUACGUUGUUGAGUGCUCUUUCUGCUGUUUCGGGUUUGGCUGUUUUUGGUAAUGGAAGAUGGAUUAUUCGUUUAUGGUUAAGCAUGGAUUUGAGUUGGAUGGUGUACUUGGUACUUCAUUGAUAGAAAUUUAUUCAAAGUGUGGAAGUAUAGAGAGUGCUGUUGCAGUUUUUAAUGCAAUUGCCAAUAAGAAAUUGGGGCAUUGAACGGCUAUAAUUGUGGGCUUAGGAAUGCAUGGUUUGCCUCGUUGACAUUUUAUGUCGAGCUGGGCAUCUUGAACAGGCAAAAUAAAUAAUUGAGAGCAUGCCGGUGCCGGUGAGACCCAACAAAGUCAUAUGGAUGAGUUUGCUUGGUGGUGCUGGGAACCAUGGAAACUUGGACAUAGGUGAAUAUGCAGCCCACAGUUUGAUUGAGGAGGAUUCAGAUGCUCGUACUGGGUGUUACACUGUACUUUCUAACGUGUAUGAUGCAGCUGGGAAGUGGGAUAAAGUUUCACAUGUAAGAGAAAUGAUGAAGAAGAGAGGAAUGAAAAAGGAUGCUGGAUGCAGCCAGCUUCAUUGAGCACAAGGGUCAACUUCAUCGGUUUAUAGUGGAUGAUAGAUCGCAUUCCCAAACCCAGGAUAUAUAUGCAAAGUUGAGGGAAAUGAGGGAGAAGCUGAAACUGGAGGGACAUGUUCCUGACACAAGCCAAGUUCUGCUAAAUAUUGAAGGCGAGAAAGAAAAAGAAUCUGAAUUAGAUAACCAAAGUGAGAGGUUGGCCAUUUCUUUUGGUCUCAUCAAUAUGGAAAGAAGAACUCCUAUUCGCAUUAUAAAGUACCUUCGAGUCUGUAACGAUUGCCAUGUAGUUACCAAACUCCUCUCAGCUAUCUAUGACCGUGAAAUUAUAGUGAGAGAUAAUAGCCGCUUCCAUCAUUUUAAAAAAGGAUAAUGUUCUUGAAAUGACUUUUGGUGACAUGUCGCAGACUCUUGAUGAGGUACCUUCUGGUAUAUUGAUUUGGCAAACACGUGAUAACAAGUUGGAACUUUUCACGAUCCUCAGUUUUGUGCAUGUGAAAUGCUAAAAGGUAUGCAUUCAUGAUGCCUUAUUCGCGUGCAAACUAAUUCAUUCUAAAUAGCAGGCGUCUUUGUGUGAUUACCUUUAAGUAGCUGAUUUUUUUUUAAGCAGUAGAUGAUAAAAAAAAGUCGGCCGACGCCUUGAACUUGGUUGCAUUAUUUGAACUAAUUAACUUUAAAGGAAGGGUUGUCUAGGUUAUUGGGAAUAAAAAUAUAGUAUGACAAACAUAGGCCCCAUCACUAUGCUAAAUUCGUGCACAAGAUUUGAUAUUUCUUGGAAUCCAUAUUUCUAAUAUAUAAUCAACAACAUACAGGUUCUUCUGCUCAUGUAGUUACAUUGGUGAAAAUGGGAGUUAAACACAACAGAAAUGCAAAUGAGAGCAGAAGAUUGCAUCUGACAAAACAGGCAUUAUAUGGCAUUCUCAUUGUCCAGGG
Molecule: long non-coding RNA, 1969 nt
Organism: Cicer arietinum (chickpea)
Lineage: Eukaryota; Viridiplantae; Streptophyta; Magnoliopsida; Fabales; Fabaceae
Source: RefSeq, a predicted model, not a curated record